This is a long non-coding RNA of Oncorhynchus nerka (sockeye salmon), 500 nucleotides long. RefSeq lists it as uncharacterized. The transcript is spliced from 2 exons. NCBI's taxonomy places the organism in Eukaryota, Metazoa, Chordata, Actinopteri, Salmoniformes, Salmonidae. The record is from RefSeq and is a predicted model, not a curated record.
CUGUUAUUACUUGGCAAACACUCCUUCCUAUGGGUGUGUAAGUUAGUUUGUAACAACAAUAUAGAUCAUGUGACAAAAUCAAAGGAGCUCCAGGUCCUCUAGUGUCAGAUUGGUAUGAGAGAAGUUUCAGAAUAGGAAGGAAGUUAGUAGGUGUGACUCAUACCACUGGGGACUACUAUGGCCAUACUCUUAUCAUUUCUCUUACAUCUCUUCCUCCUGGAACCACAGACCCCAUGUCCACACAACAAUAACUCUAAGGACCCUGAAGCGCACACACAAGUUUCUACUUUUGUAGGACUACUGUGUUCUGAAGCGGAGACGGCUCCCUCAUCUGGAGACGCUGUGCUGGUGCAUCAGUUAGCUACUGCUGGGUCCCUACUGGCCAACCAACCUAUUCUUCCAACAAGAGCCAUCUAUACUGAACAAAAAUAUAAACGCAACAUGUAAAAAGUGUUGGUCCCAUGUUUUAUGAGCUGAAAUAAAAGAUCCCAGAAAUGUUC